This 216-nucleotide long non-coding RNA is filed under the name Capsicum annuum. RNAcentral's name for it is "long non-coding RNA (CANN_LNC019299)". The record is from RNAcentral. Lineage: Eukaryota; Viridiplantae; Streptophyta; Magnoliopsida; Solanales; Solanaceae.
UCAGCCCUUGUAAGACCACAUAUCCAAUGCAACAUCCUUAUUUCCGCCACCUUCGACUUUUGAAUAUGGGAAGUCUUAACUGGCCAACACUCCGCUCCGUACAACAUAGCCAGCCGGACUGCAACUCUAUAGAAUUUGCCUUUAAGCUUGGGAGGCACCUUCUUAUCUCAUAAAAUCCUCGAAGCGAGCCUCCAUUUCAUCCAACCUGCCCCAAUA